GUGCGAAGCAUGCGAGUGAUGGCGGUCUCUAGCUUCUUGUCGUCAGGAGCAACGAGCUCCACUGCUUGUUGUGGACCGGCUUGGACUUUCAGUUGCCAGGGGUAUACUUCUUCGAGGGUGGCCCAAGAAAUUCAUGUGAUGCUGCCGGAGCGGGCAUGUCCUUCUAUGCGUGGAUAGUAAAAGUGGCGGAAGAGUGCUAUGUCGGGACUACUCCUAUGAAAUUCUCGCACAAGUGCGCGAAUACCGACAGGGUGCUCAUAGCAUUGGUGGUGAAAUCAAGCGCUUUGAAGCCAUAGGUCAGCAUCAGAUCUCUGGAGAAGGCGGAAAAGGGGGGAACCAGCCCAUGGUAGAAGUACAUCCUGAACAACGGGUACUUCCCCGUGUAGGGAUGGGAAUCACCAGGAAUCACGUCCAGCGCAGGAUGCAUCAUGGUUUCUUUCCCCCACAUCAGAGUGUACAUCGAGAUGAGGUAGUUGCUCGUCAGGACGAAAGGGAAGAAGAUGAUGCUGUAUCUUCGCACCGCCGCCAGGGAAUCCUUCCUCGCCUUCGCAUCAGGAUCAUUAUUUCUAUUGGUCCUCUUCGUCGGGCCUGAAGCAGUGGCGGAAAAUGCCAUCUUAGGCACCAUGAAGAUCUCGGAGAAGAAUGACAACGAAGACGACGAAGCGACACGGGGGCUCUGCACUUAGCGACAGAGAAGACAGAGUAGGCGGUAGAGCAGGGAAUGGUUGGCUUGGAUGAGCAGUGCGUGUGUGAAUUCCAUUCUUAUAGGGUGGAACGUGCAGAGGCCUCCUCUCCCCGUCUGACGUGGCCACACCUUUCUAGGCACGCUCCCCACAUUUUGUUUCGCUCCACCUGUCCUAAGUCCCACAUUUGAUCUGAAGGGUGUGUGGGCAGUAAACAGCAUCAUUACAACUGUA
Hordeum vulgare subsp. vulgare (domesticated barley) is the source of this 917-nucleotide long non-coding RNA. RefSeq lists it as uncharacterized. The transcript is spliced from 2 exons. NCBI's taxonomy places the organism in Eukaryota, Viridiplantae, Streptophyta, Magnoliopsida, Poales, Poaceae. The record is from RefSeq and is a predicted model, not a curated record.